GAGUUUGUCGGUCGGUCGGGCUUCACUGUCCGCACUGGCCUGACGGAUUCCUACCUUCUGAAUAACCAGCAUGCUAUUAAGUUAGUGCGUUGGGGAAGCAGAGCUAUUACCUUGAAAAAAUUAGAGUGCUUAAAGCAGGCUUAUGCUUGAAUAGAUUAGCAUGGAAUAAUAAAAUAGGACGGCAUGGUUCUAUUUUGUUGGUUUCUAGGGCUUUUGUA
Molecule: ribosomal RNA, 218 nt
Filed under: Campeiostachys nutans
Lineage: Eukaryota; Viridiplantae; Streptophyta; Magnoliopsida; Poales; Poaceae
Description: Elymus nutans partial small subunit ribosomal RNA
Rfam family: Eukaryotic small subunit ribosomal RNA (bases 47-218)
Source: RNAcentral